GAUGAACGCUGGCGGCGUGCCUAAUACAUGCAAGUCGAGCGAACGGACGAGAAGCUUGCUUUUCUGAUGUUAGCGGCGGACGGGUGAGUAACACGUGGAUCACCUACCUAUAAGACUGGGAUCACUUCGGGAAACCGGAUCUUAUCCCGUAUAAUCUUUUGAACCGCAUGGUUCAAUAGUGAAAGACGGUCUUGCUGUCACUUAUAGCUGGAUCCGCGCUGCAUUAGCUAGUUGUUAAGGUAACGGCUUACCACGGCAACGAUGCAUAGCCGACCUGAGAGGGGGAUCGGCGACACGGGAGCGGAGACACGGACAAGACUCCUACGGGAGGCAGCAGUAGGGAACCUUACGCAGUGGGGGAAAGCCUGACGGAGCAACGCCGCGUGAGUGAUGAAGAUCCUCGGAUCGUAAAACUCUGUUAUUAGUGAAGAACAUAUGUGUAAGUAACUGUGCACAGCGUGACGGUACCGAAUCAGAAAGCCACGGCUAACUACGUG
RNAcentral lists this ribosomal RNA (497 nucleotides) under uncultured bacterium. RNAcentral describes it as "partial 16S ribosomal RNA". It matches the Rfam family "Bacterial small subunit ribosomal RNA", at positions 28 to 507 of the family's 1533-position model. The record is from RNAcentral.